GGGUCCUUGGGGUUGAGGUGGGGUCCUCGGGUACCUGUUGGGGUCCCUAUGGGGUCCUUGUUGUGUUCCCGGAUCCCUAUGAGGUCCUUGUUGUGUUUCUGUAUCCCUAUGGGGGGCUUAUGGGGUCCUUGUUUUGUCCCUGUAUCCCUAUGGGGUCCUUGUUGUGUCCCUAUUGCCCUGUGGGGUCCCUAUGGGGUCCUUGUUGUGAUCCCCUAUCCCUAUGGGGUCCUUGUUGUGUCCAUAUAUUCCUAUGGGAGGGCUUAUGGGGUCCUUGUUGUGUCCCCGUAGCCCUAUGGGGUCCUUUUUGUGUCCCUAUAGCCCUGCGGGGUCCUUUUGGGGUCCUUCUUGCAGCCCCAUAUCCCUUUGGGGUCCUUCUUGCAGCCCCAUAUGUACCUGUGGGGGUAUAGGGUCCCUAUGGGGUCCUCCUAUGCCUGCCGUGCCCCUAUGGGGUCC
This 453-nucleotide long non-coding RNA is filed under the name Gallus gallus (chicken). Lineage: Eukaryota; Metazoa; Chordata; Aves; Galliformes; Phasianidae. The record is from RNAcentral.